GGGGCUGUAAAGGUUUCGACGGGGAUUUUGAAGCUGGUGAAGCUAUCCGCAGGGUGAUGCGUUAAAUUCCAAAUUAAAUAUAAACGCUGAAGAAAAUUUAGCAAUCGCUGCCUAAUGGCAGCAGUCUGACCUAGUGAACCUACGCACAAGGACCCAGGCUUCGUAUCAGUAGGAAACGACUUAGCCAAAGCUUUGAGGCUAAUGGGCGUAUUAUGAAGCUACUAAGCUAGUUGGCGCGUUAACUUGCCGGUUAGUAAGGAAAUGAAACUAUAGUUAACUAUGAUAGUAGAAGAACAGUGAAUGGGUUUUCGGACAGGGGUUCGACUCCCCUCAGUUCCAUUU
RNAcentral lists this transfer-messenger RNA (342 nucleotides) under Lachnospira pectinoschiza. It matches the Rfam family "transfer-messenger RNA". Rfam says of the family: Bacterial tmRNA, also known as 10Sa RNA or SsrA, is named for its dual tRNA and mRNA-like properties. The record is from RNAcentral. RNAcentral also lists the same sequence under 1 other name. Lineage: Bacteria; Bacillati; Bacillota; Clostridia; Lachnospirales; Lachnospiraceae.